UACGUAGGGCGCAAGCGUUAUCCGGAAUUAUUGGGCGUAAAGAGCUCGUAGGCGGUUUGUCGCGUCUGCCGUGAAAGUCCGGGGCUCAACUCCGGAUCUGCGGUGGGUACGGGCAGACUAGAGUGAUGUAGGGGGAGACUGGAAUUCCUGGUGUAGCGGUGAAAUGCGCAGAUAUCAGGAGGAACACCGGUGGCGAAGGCGGGUCUCUGGGCAAUAACUGACGCUGAGGAGCGAAAGCGUGGGGAGCGAACAGG
This 254-nucleotide ribosomal RNA is filed under the name uncultured bacterium. Its description in RNAcentral is "partial 16S ribosomal RNA". It matches the Rfam family "Bacterial small subunit ribosomal RNA", at positions 524 to 776 of the family's 1533-position model. The record is from RNAcentral.